RNAcentral lists this ribosomal RNA (492 nucleotides) under uncultured bacterium. Its description in RNAcentral is "partial 16S ribosomal RNA". It matches the Rfam family "Bacterial small subunit ribosomal RNA", at positions 29 to 507 of the family's 1533-position model. The record is from RNAcentral.
AGUGAACGCUGGCGGUAGGCCUAACACAUGCAAGUCGAACGGCAGCACAGUAAGAGCUUGCUCUUACGGGUGGCGAGUGGCGGACGGGUGAGGAAUACAUCGGAAUCUACUUUUUCGUGGGGGAUAACGUAGGGAAACUUACGCUAAUACCGCAUACGACCUACGGGUGAAAGCAGGGGAUCUUCGGACCUUGCGCGAUUGAAUGAGCCGAUGUCGGAUUAGCUAGUUGGCGGGGUAAAGGCCCACCAAGGCGACGAUCCGUAGCUGGUCUGAGAGGAUGAUCAGCCACACUGGAACUGAGACACGGUCCAGUCUCCUACGGGAGGCAGCAGUGGGGAAUAUUGGACAAUGGGCGCAGGCCUGAUCCAGCCAUACCGCGUGGGUGAAGAAGGCCUUCGGGUUGUAAAGCCCUUUUGUUGGGAAAGAAAAGCAGCAGGUUAAUACCCCGCUGUUCUGACGGUACCCAAAGAAUAAGCACCGGCUAACUUCGUG